This 484-nucleotide ribosomal RNA is filed under the name uncultured bacterium. RNAcentral describes it as "partial 16S ribosomal RNA". It matches the Rfam family "Bacterial small subunit ribosomal RNA", at positions 30 to 507 of the family's 1533-position model. The record is from RNAcentral.
AUUGAACGCUGGCGGCAGGCCUAACACAUGCAAGUCGAGCGGAUGAAGGGAGCUUGCUCCUGGAUUCAGCGGCGGACGGGUGAGUAAUGCCUAGGAAUCUGCCUGGUAGUGGGGGAUAACGUCCGGAAACGGGCGCUAAUACCGCAUACGUCCUGAGGGAGAAAGUGGGGGAUCUUCGGACCUCACGCUAUCAGAUGAUCCUAGGUCGGAUUAGCUAGUUGGUGGGGUAAAGGCCUACCAAGGCGACGAUCCGUAACUGGUCUGAGAGGAUGAUCAGUCACACUGGAACUGAGACACGGUCCAGACUCCUACGGGAGGCAGCAGUGGGGAAUAUUGGACAAUGGGCGAAAGCCUGAUCCAGACAUGCCGCGUGUGUGAAGAAGGUCUUCGGAUUGUAAAGCACUUUAAGUUGGGAGGAAGGGCAGUAAGUUAAUACCUUGCUGUUUUGACGUUACCAACAGAAUAAGCACCGGCUAACUUCGUG